Molecule: ribosomal RNA, 419 nt
Filed under: Tenagogonus madagascariensis
Lineage: Eukaryota; Metazoa; Arthropoda; Insecta; Hemiptera; Gerridae
Description: partial 16S large subunit ribosomal RNA
Source: RNAcentral
UCUUUUGUUUUAUAUAUAAGAUCAGGCCUGCCCAUUGAUUUAAUAAUUAAAAGGCUGCGGUAUUUUAACUGUACGAAGGUAGCAUAAUCAUUUGUCUUUUAAUUGAAGGCUGGAAUGAAUGGUUCGAUGAAAAAUAGUCUUUCUUUUUUUGAUUUAUUUGAAUUUAAUUUUUUAGUUAAAAAGCUAAAAUUUUUUUAUAGGACGAGAAGACCCUAUAGAAGUUUACUAUUUUAAUAAAUUUUGAUUUUAUGGUUUUAAAAUUAAUUUUUAUUAAGUUAGUUUUGUUGGGGUGACAUUAAAAUUUAUUAAACUUUUGAUUUUUUCUUCAUUAAUUAUUGUUUUUUUUGAUCCAGAAUUUUUGAUUAUAAGUUUAACUUACCUUAGGGAUAACAGCGUAAUUUUUUCGGAGAGAUCAUAUU